UGGGGAAUUGUUCGCAAUGGGCGCAAGCCUGACGACGCAACGCCGCGUGGAGGAUGAAGAUCUUCGGGUCGUAAACUCCUUUCGAUCGGGACGAAUGAUCGGUGACCUAACACGUCAUCGGAAUGACGGUACCGAGAGAAGAAGCCCCGGCUAACUCCGUGCCAGCAGCCGCGGUAAUACGGGGGGGGCAAGCGUUGUUCGGAAUUACUGGGCGUAAAGGGCGCGUAGGCGGCCAACUAAGUCCGACGUGAAAUCCCCAGGCUUAACCUGGGAACUGCGUCGGAUACUGGAUGGCUUGAAUUCGGGAGAGGGAUGCAGAAUUCCAGGUGUAGCGGUGAAAUGCGUAGAUAUCUGGAGGAAUACCGGUGGCGAAGGCGGCAUCCUGGACCGACAUUGACGCUGAGGCGCGAAAGCUAGGGGAGCAAA
Molecule: ribosomal RNA, 426 nt
Filed under: uncultured bacterium
Lineage: Bacteria
Description: bacterial SSU rRNA
Rfam family: Bacterial small subunit ribosomal RNA
Source: RNAcentral